This 500-nucleotide ribosomal RNA is filed under the name uncultured bacterium. Its description in RNAcentral is "partial 16S ribosomal RNA". It matches the Rfam family "Bacterial small subunit ribosomal RNA", at positions 30 to 523 of the family's 1533-position model. The record is from RNAcentral.
AUUGAACGCUGGCGGCAUGCUUUACACAUGCGAGUCGAACGGUAACAGGGUGCUUGCACCGCUGACGAGUGGCGAACGGGUGAGUAACGCGUCGGAACGUGCCGAGUAGUGGGGGAUAACGCAGCGAAAGUUGUGCUAAUGCCGCAUACGUACUGAGGUAGAAAGUGGGGGACCUUCGGGCCUCACGCUAUUCGAGCGGCCGACGUCUGAUUAGCUAGUAGGUGAGGUAAAGGCUCACCUAGGCGACGAUCAGUAGCGGGUCUGAGAGGAUGAUCCGCCACACUGGGACUGAGACACGGCCCAGACUCCUACGGGAGGCAGCAGUGGGGAAUUUUGGACAAUGGGCGAAAGCCUGAUCCAGCCAUGCCGCGUGUCUGAAGAAGGCCUUCGGGUUGUAAAGGACUUUUGUCAGGGAGGAAAUCCCUAGUGCUAAUAACACUGGGGGAUGACAGUACCUGAAGAAUAAGCACCGGCUAACUACGUGCCAGCCGCCGCCGUAA